UUUAGUCAGGCAACGAGCGAGACCCGUGCCCACUGUUACCAGCAUAUCCUCCGGGAUGAUGGGUACUCUGUGGGGACCGCCGGUGUUAAAUCGGAGGAAGGUGCGGGCCACGGUAGGUCAGUAUGCCCCGAAUUUCCCGGGCUACACGCGGGCUACAAUGAAUGGGACAAUGGGUCCCUCCCCUGAAAAGGGCUGGUAAUCUCACAAACCCAUCCUUAGUUCGGAUCGAGGGCUGUAACUCGCCCUCGUGAAGCUGGAAUCCGUAGUAAUCGCGUUUCAAUAUAGCGCGGUGAAUACGUCCCUGCUCCUUGCACA
Molecule: ribosomal RNA, 315 nt
Filed under: uncultured methanogenic archaeon
Lineage: Archaea; Methanobacteriati; Methanobacteriota
Description: bacterial SSU rRNA
Rfam family: Archaeal small subunit ribosomal RNA
Source: RNAcentral